This is a long non-coding RNA of Peromyscus maniculatus bairdii (prairie deer mouse), 1192 nucleotides long. RefSeq lists it as uncharacterized. The record is from RefSeq and is a predicted model, not a curated record. NCBI's taxonomy places the organism in Eukaryota, Metazoa, Chordata, Mammalia, Rodentia, Cricetidae.
ACCAGAUGGAAUCUAGAAUUAUCCCGCACAAUCCUCUGGAUCUCUCUAGAUUGGGCUGAUUGGAGCAGAAAGACAACUCUGAAUGAGCUAACCCGACAGAAACUCCCACUGUCCAUCAACCUAAAGCCAUGUAUGAGGAUGUUCACAUCUGCGUUAUUUGGAGGCAAAGAGCUGGAGAAGUCAGUGCUCAAGAGAGGCAGAAUGGAUAAAAUCUGACCUGCAUUGAACUUGGAUGUCCAGUAUAUCUGAUAAGAUUAGAAGGCGAUGGAGUCAUCGUUUGGGGAUCAUAAACAAUGCUGUGAAACUAUGGGUAAAAACUCCUGGCAGAAUCAAGUUUUGUGAAACAUCAGAAGUGGCAACCAUUCCAACAGCCAUAGGCAAAUGAACUCAUAGAGAAAGAAAAAGAACAUUCCAUGGAUUAUGCAGAGAGGGAACCUAAGAAGAUGGAACUCAGUCUGAGCCAGAAAAAAAAAAAAUUCUCUUGACCACAUCUGGAUGGGAACUUUGCCAAUUCUACUGGAGAGCGGCUCCGGAGUUUGCCGAGUUGAAUGGAGUGGCAUCUGCGGUUUGCUGUAAGUGCUGUGUGUACUGUAAUUAACGUUUUAAACAAAUCAUCUUCCAGGUCAGCCAUAGUGAGGCUGCCCUCACUUUCACCUGAGCUCCUCGUUCGUGUACUUGACCUGAAGGUGCAAAGCCUUUUUCUAGAAAUGUUUUGAGGCCUUAAGUCAACGAGAAGAAGAAAACAUAAGCCAGAAUCCAUGUUCUGGGGGCUCUGGAGACAGCUUAUUUGCACCGUGGGAAGGAAAAUGACACAGUCCACAAGCUCCAGAAUAACCCCCAAGAACCAUGGUCCUCCUGUGCACGAUAUUUUAGGAAAGCAUUUCCUACUUUUAAAUCGUUAUUCCAGACAUCUUUCUAUGCAUGCACAUAAAUAAAGAAAAAUGGGCAAUGAAGGCCAUAAGAGGCUGAUGGACACUGAAUUACAGUCACACAGUUCACAGUAUACUUGAACAGAAUGCCAUGUGAAAUCUGUCAUUUUGUGUAAGCAACACACAGUAAAAAUAAGUACAUAAAAGAAAACCCUGGAUUGCCCUCCUUAUAGCAUUGUCUCAGUACUUCCAAUAUAUUUUACACUUCAAAAAAGUCCAUUGAAAUUGAAAAAUAUAAACCUACAAAAUGCAACAAUAUUGAA